AGCACAGCUUCCUGAGCUCCUGGAUAAAUUACAGCUUCCUGCUUCCCCCCGAAUCUGAAGUGGAAUACUGUGAUUACCGCUAGAAGCGAGUACCUCAGAUUGAGUGGCUUCUUGGUGAGAACACAUCGACUUGUUCCUCUGUACUAUGCCGCGGUAUUGGUUCAGCACCAACAUGAAAGGAAAUGUAUUCUGCCUUGUGGAAUUGACAGUUGAAA
RNAcentral lists this long non-coding RNA (215 nucleotides) under Struthio camelus australis. RNAcentral describes it as "lncRNA (ENSSCUG00000007798.1)". Lineage: Eukaryota; Metazoa; Chordata; Aves; Struthioniformes; Struthionidae. The record is from RNAcentral.